This 1273-nucleotide long non-coding RNA is filed under the name Salvia miltiorrhiza (redroot sage). RNAcentral describes it as "long non-coding RNA (SMIL_LNC004879)". Lineage: Eukaryota; Viridiplantae; Streptophyta; Magnoliopsida; Lamiales; Lamiaceae. The record is from RNAcentral.
UCCCUACUAAAAUAACUUGAAGCUCACGUGUCCCGAUGUUGAUUAUAAAAGAGCUUAAAGCUCACUUGUCCUCGUCGCUUGCAAAAGAGCUAAAGCUCACUUGCCCCCCCUCCCCCUCCGCCUCUUAUAAAAGAACUUAAAAGCUCACUUGUCUCUGCCGCUUAUAGAAGAGCUCAAAGUUCUGGGGUCUGUGUAUAUAAAAGAGCUUAAAGCUCAUGUGUCCCGGUUGCUUAUAAAAGAGCUUAAAGCUCACUUGUCCCUCUCGUUUUUAAAAAAGAGCAUAAAGGUCACAUGUCUUUAUCGCUUCUUAAAGAGCUUAAAGCUCACUUGUCCCUAUGGCUUAUAAGAGAGCUUGAAGCUCAUUCGUCCUGCUGCUUGUAAAAGAGUAUGAAGCUCACGUGUCCCUGUGGCUCAUAAAAGAGCUUAAAGUUUGCUUGUCCCUGUAGCUUAUAAAAGGGCUUAAAGCUGAAUGCUCAUGUGUCCUAUUGGCUUAUAAAAGAGUUUAAAGCUCACUUGUCCCUUCUGUUCACAAAAGAGUUUAGUGCUCAUGUGUCCCUCUUACUUACAAAAGAGCGCAAUGCUCAUGUGUCACUCCUAAGCAAGAGCUUAAUGCUCACAUGUCCCUGGUGCUUAUAAAAGAGCUUAAAGCUCAUGUGUCCCGGUUGCUUAUAAAAGAGCUUAAAGCUCACUUGUCCCUCUCGUUUAUAAAAAAGAGCAUAAAGGUCACAUGUCUUUAUCGCUUCUUAAAGAGCUUAAAGCUCACUUGUCCCUAUGGCUUGUAAAAGAGCUUGAAGCUCAUUCGUCCUGCUGCUUAUAAAAGAUUAUGAAGCUCACGUGUCCCUGUGGCUCAUAAAAGAGCUCGUCUCUGUAGCUUAUAAAAGGGCUUAAAGCUGAAAGCUCAUGUGUCCUAUUGGCUUAUAAAAGAGUUUAAAGCUCACGUGUCCCUUCUGUUCAUAAAAGAGUUUAGUGCUCAUGUGUCCCUCUUUACUUACAAAAGAGCGCAAUACUCAUGUGUCACUCCUAAGCAAGAGCUUAAUGCUCACAUGUCCCUGGUGCUUAUAAAAGAGCUUAAAGCUCACGUGUCCCGGUUGCUUAUAAAAGUGCUUAACACUCACGUGUCCUUGCUUAAGAAAGAGUUUAAUGCUCAUAACCCAAUGAUUACGAAAUAGCUUGAUGAUCACGUGAGAAAGCGCUUAAUGCUCAAAUGUACGUGUUGCUUAUCUAAAAACUUUCUCGAGGGUCCCUGUUGCAUAUGAAAAGAGCUUAAUGCGUA